RNAcentral lists this RNase P RNA (507 nucleotides) under Bacteroidota bacterium. Its description in RNAcentral is "RNase P RNA component class A". It matches the Rfam family "Bacterial RNase P class A". Rfam says of the family: Ribonuclease P (RNase P) is a ubiquitous endoribonuclease, found in archaea, bacteria and eukarya as well as chloroplasts and mitochondria. Its best characterised activity is the generation of mature 5'-ends of tRNAs by cleaving the 5'-leader elements of precursor-tRNAs. The record is from RNAcentral. Lineage: Bacteria; Pseudomonadati; Bacteroidota.
AUAGCAAGCCGUCUUAUCGCUGCGCUUUUGGGCGGAGAGGAAAGUCCGGGCAACACAGAGCAGCCUACUUCCUAACGGGAAGGGUUCCGGCGUAAUCCGGGAUACAGCUAGUGCCACAGAAAAUAACCGCCUUUUUUAAUUAUGAAUUAUAAAUUCAAAAUUAGAAAUGAAUCAAUUUUUAAUUUAUAAUUUUUAAAUUCUAAUUAAUUUGGGUAAGGGUGAAAAGGUGCGGUAAGAGCGCACCAGUACGCGGGCGACCGUUGUAGCUGGGUAAACCUUAGGCGUUGAAAGACCAAAUAGGCUGGCAGCUCAUUUAUUAGUUGUUACUGUUUUUUCAAUUAUUUCGGUAAUUGGCAAAUGGUACCUGGUAAAUGAUAAGGGCGGCUCGUCCGAUGUCAGUGGGUAGGUUGAUGGAGCCCCACCGCGAGGUCGGGCCUAGAUAAAUGAUAAGACGUUCCGGAGAUUUCUUCGGAGCGACAGAACCCGGCUUACAGGCUUGCUAUAUUU